Molecule: non-coding RNA, 27 nt
Filed under: Cricetulus griseus (Chinese hamster)
Lineage: Eukaryota; Metazoa; Chordata; Mammalia; Rodentia; Cricetidae
Source: RNAcentral
CACAACAGGACCUGUAGAGAGACUCAA